GGGGAUUUAGCUCAGUGGCAUAAGCACCUGCCUUGCAAGCAGCCGGUCAUGAGUUCAAUCCCCG
Molecule: transfer RNA, 64 nt
Organism: Cavia porcellus (domestic guinea pig)
Lineage: Eukaryota; Metazoa; Chordata; Mammalia; Rodentia; Caviidae
Rfam family: tRNA
About the family: Transfer RNA (tRNA) molecules are approximately 80 nucleotides in length.
Source: Rfam